AAAUAUAUAUAUUUAGCUAACUUCUUAAAGGAAAGUUGCUAUAUGCCUUGUAUUCUAUGACUCCUCGUUCCAGUAUCCUUUCUCCUCCCCCAUCAUCCAGGUCACAUAGGAGAGUGAUCAGCACGUCUUGGGAGCACAGUAGACACAGAUUUAGGAGAGCCCCUGCCUGUAGUCUCCCAAUCAAAUCAUAGGAACACUGUGAGACUCUGGGGUGAGCUUGCAUUUGCAGACAGGAACUGAAGGGCUGGAGAGGUUACACUCAGCCAGGUGCAGUUGCCCAGCAUGUGAAAGAGGAGACAUUCUAAACCCUGCACUUAAAAUAAAUAAAUAAAUAAAGUUA
Chlorocebus sabaeus (green monkey) is the source of this 340-nucleotide long non-coding RNA. RefSeq lists it as uncharacterized. NCBI's taxonomy places the organism in Eukaryota, Metazoa, Chordata, Mammalia, Primates, Cercopithecidae. The record is from RefSeq and is a predicted model, not a curated record.